RNAcentral lists this ribosomal RNA (491 nucleotides) under Agrobacterium tumefaciens. Its description in RNAcentral is "bacterial SSU rRNA". It matches the Rfam family "Bacterial small subunit ribosomal RNA", at positions 61 to 600 of the family's 1533-position model. Lineage: Bacteria; Pseudomonadati; Pseudomonadota; Alphaproteobacteria; Hyphomicrobiales; Rhizobiaceae. The record is from RNAcentral.
GUCGAACGCCCCGCAAGGGGAGUGGCAGACGGGUGAGUAACGCGUGGGAACAUACCCUUUCCUGCGGAAUAGCUCCGGGAAACUGGAAUUAAUACCGCAUACGCCCUACGGGGGAAAGAUUUAUCGGGGAAGGAUUGGCCCGCGUUGGAUUAGCUAGUUGGUGGGGUAAAGGCCUACCAAGGCGACGAUCCAUAGCUGGUCUGAGAGGAUGAUCAGCCACAUUGGGACUGAGACACGGCCCAAACUCCUACGGGAGGCAGCAGUGGGGAAUAUUGGACAAUGGGCGCAAGCCUGAUCCAGCCAUGCCGCGUGAGUGAUGAAGGCCUUAGGGUUGUAAAGCUCUUUCACCGGAGAAGAUAAUGACGGUAUCCGGAGAAGAAGCCCCGGCUAACUUCGUGCCAGCAGCCGCGGUAAUACGAAGGGGGCUAGCGUUGUUCGGAAUUACUGGGCGUAAAGCGCACGUAGGCGGAUAUUUAAGUCAGGGGUGAAAU